GACAGAGGUGGCAAGCGUUGUUCGGAUUCAUUGGGUGUAAAGGGCAGGUAGGUGGCUUGGUAAGUCUGAUGUGAAAUCCCACGGCUCAACCGUGGAACUGCAUUGGAAACUGCCGGGCUUGAGUAUCGGAGAGGUUAGGGGAAUUCCCGGUGUAAGGGUGAAAUCUGUAGAUAUCGGGAGGAACACCAGUGGCGAAGGCGCCUAACUGGCCGAUUACUGACACUGAGCUGCGAAAGCUAGGGGAGCAAACAGG
Molecule: ribosomal RNA, 253 nt
Filed under: uncultured bacterium
Lineage: Bacteria
Description: partial 16S ribosomal RNA
Rfam family: Bacterial small subunit ribosomal RNA
Source: RNAcentral